UUAAUACUGUUAAAUUUGUUGGU
This 23-nucleotide microRNA is filed under the name Gossypium raimondii (Peruvian cotton). RNAcentral's name for it is "gra-miR8763". The record is from miRBase by way of RNAcentral. Lineage: Eukaryota; Viridiplantae; Streptophyta; Magnoliopsida; Malvales; Malvaceae.